RNAcentral lists this ribosomal RNA (429 nucleotides) under Chloroflexota bacterium. RNAcentral describes it as "Chloroflexi bacterium partial 16S ribosomal RNA". It matches the Rfam family "Bacterial small subunit ribosomal RNA", at positions 355 to 776 of the family's 1533-position model. Lineage: Bacteria; Bacillati; Chloroflexota. The record is from RNAcentral.
UGGGGAAUAUUGCACAAUGGGCGCAAGCCUGAUGCAGCCAUGCCGCGUGUGUGAAGAAGGCCUUCGGGUUGUAAAGCACUUUCAGCGGGGAGGAAGGCGAUAAGGUUAAUAACCUUGUCGAUUGACGUUACCCGCAGAAGAAGCACCGGCUAACUCCGUGCCAGCAGCCGCGGUAAUACGGAGGGUGCAAGCGUUAAUCGGAAUUACUGGGCGUAAAGCGCACGCAGGCGGUUGAUUGAGUCAGAUGUGAAAUCCCCGGGCUUAACCCGGGAAUUGCAUCUGAUAAUGGUCAGCUAGAGUCUUGUAGAGGGGGGUAGAAUUCCAUGUGUAGCGGUGAAAUGCGUAGAGAUGUGGAGGAAUACCGGUGGCGAAGGCGGCCCCCUGGACAAAGACUGACACUCAGGUGCGAAAGCGUGGGGAGCAAACAGG